Molecule: ribosomal RNA, 699 nt
Filed under: Ectopseudomonas khazarica
Lineage: Bacteria; Pseudomonadati; Pseudomonadota; Gammaproteobacteria; Pseudomonadales; Pseudomonadaceae
Description: Pseudomonas khazarica partial 16S rRNA
Source: RNAcentral
AGUCCAGGUAGUCGCCUUCGCCACUGGUGUUCCUUCCUAUAUCUACGCAUUUCACCGCUACACAGGAAAUUCCACUACCCUCUACCGUACUCUAGCUCGCCAGUUUUGGAUGCAGUUCCCAGGUUGAGCCCGGGGCUUUCACAUCCAACUUAACGAACCACCUACGCGCGCUUUACGCCCAGUAAUUCCGAUUAACGCUUGCACCCUUCGUAUUACCGCGGCUGCUGGCACGAAGUUAGCCGGUGCUUAUUCUGUUGGUAACGUCAAAACCGCAGGAUAUUAGCCUACAGCCCUUCCUCCCAACUUAAAGUGCUUUACAAUCCGAAGACCUUCUUCACACACGCGGCAUGGCUGGAUCAGGCUUUCGCCCAUUGUCCAAUAUUCCCCACUGCUGCCUCCCGUAGGAGUCUGGACCGUGUCUCAGUUCCAGUGUGACUGAUCAUCCUCUCAGACCAGUUACGGAUCGUCGCCUUGGUGAGCCAUUACCUCACCAACUAGCUAAUCCGACCUAGGCUCAUCUGAUAGCGCAAGGCCCGAAGGUCCCCUGCUUUCUCCCGUAGGACGUAUGCGGUAUUAGCGUUCCUUUCGGAACGUUAUCCCCCACUACCAGGCAGAUUCCUAGGCAUUACUCACCCGUCCGCCGCUGAAUCCAGGAGCAAGCUCCCUUCAUCCGCUCGACUUGCAUGUGUUAGGCCUGCC